GACGUAGGGCGCGAGCGUUGUCUGGAUUUAUUGGGCGUAAAGAGCUCGUAGGCGGCUUGUCGCGUCGUUCGUGAAAACCUGCAGCUCAACUGCAGGCUUGCGGUCGAUACGGGCAGGCUAGAGUUCGGUAGGGGAGACUGGAAUUCCUGGUGUAGCGGUGAAAUGCGCAGAUAUCAGGAGGAACACCGGUGGCGAAGGCGGGUCUCUGGGCCGAUACUGACGCUGAGGAGCGAAAGCGUGGGGAGCGAACAGG
This 253-nucleotide ribosomal RNA is filed under the name uncultured bacterium. Its description in RNAcentral is "partial 16S ribosomal RNA". It matches the Rfam family "Bacterial small subunit ribosomal RNA", at positions 524 to 776 of the family's 1533-position model. The record is from RNAcentral.